Molecule: long non-coding RNA, 257 nt
Organism: Mugil cephalus (flathead mullet)
Lineage: Eukaryota; Metazoa; Chordata; Actinopteri; Mugiliformes; Mugilidae
Exons: 3
Source: RefSeq, a predicted model, not a curated record
GAAGAGCAGCGGCCCGCGUGACUGCGCGGUGGGAAACGUUGUGUGACUGAAGUGUGUAGGACUCAUUCUGUGCAGUUUGUUGCAAGCUUUAGUUCUAAAGACGCUGAACUUCAGGAGUGAACUUCACUGUGGAGGUCAAAGGUGCUGAGACGUCUCCUCUUUCAGUCCGUCUGUCUCCUCUGGAUGAAAUGUGGACGUUGCUGUCCUCUAAAGAGCCUCCUUUAGUCCUCCAGGUCCAGGUCCAGGUCCAGGUCCAG